RNAcentral lists this ribosomal RNA (301 nucleotides) under uncultured bacterium. RNAcentral's name for it is "partial 16S ribosomal RNA". It matches the Rfam family "Bacterial small subunit ribosomal RNA", at positions 509 to 809 of the family's 1533-position model. The record is from RNAcentral.
CAGUCGCCACGGGAAUACAGAGGGUGCAAGCGUUAAUCGGAAUUACUGGGCGUAAAGCGCGCGUAGGUGGUUUGUUAAGUUGGAUGUGAAAUCCCCGGGCUCAACCUGGGAACUGCAUCCAAAACUGGCAAGCUAGAGUAUGGUAGAGGGUGGUGGAAUUUCCUGUGUAGCGGUGAAAUGCGUAGAUAUAGGAAGGAACACCAGUGGCGAAGGCGACCACCUGGACUGAUACUGACACUGAGGUGCGAAAGCGUGGGGAGCAAACAGGAUUAGAUACCCCAGUAGUCCCUGUCUCUUAUAA